RNAcentral lists this ribosomal RNA (172 nucleotides) under uncultured Polaromonas sp. RNAcentral describes it as "partial 16S ribosomal RNA". It matches the Rfam family "Bacterial small subunit ribosomal RNA", at positions 1211 to 1382 of the family's 1533-position model. The record is from RNAcentral. Lineage: Bacteria; Pseudomonadati; Pseudomonadota; Betaproteobacteria; Burkholderiales; Comamonadaceae.
GGGCUACACACGUCAUACAAUGGAUGGUACAAAGGGUCGCCAACCCGCGAGGGGGAGCCAAUCCCAUAAAGCCAUUCGUAGUCCGGAUCGCAGUCUGCAACUCGACUGCGUGAAGUCGGAAUCGCUAGUAAUCGUGGAUCAGAAUGUCACGGUGAAUACGUUCCCGGGUCUU